GCUGGGAGUACGGCCGCAAGGCUGAAACUCAAAGGAAUUGACGGGGGCCCGCACAGGCGGUGGAGCAUGUGGUUUAAUUCGAAGCUACGCGAAGAACCUUACCAGGUCUUGACAUACUAUGCAAAUCUAAGAGAUUAGACGUUCCCUUCGGGGACAUGGAUACAGGUGGUGCAUGGUUGUCGUCAGCUCGUGUCGUGAGAUGUUGGGUUAAGUCCCGCAACGAGCGCAACCCUUAUUAUCAGUUGCCAGCAUUAAGUUGGGCACUCUGGUGAGACUGCCGGUGACAAACCGGAGGAAGGUGGGGAUGACGUCAAAUCAUCAUGCCCCUUAUGACCUGGGCUACACACGUGCUACAAUGGAUGGUACAACGAGUUGCGAACUCGCGAGAGUAAGCUAAUCUCUUAAAGCCAUUCUCAGUUCGGAUUGUAGGCUGCAACUCGCCUACAUGAAGUCGGAAUCGCUAGUAAUCGCGGAUCAGCAUGCCGCGGUGAAUACGUUCCCGGGCCUUGUACACACCGCCCGUCACACCAUGAGAGUUUGUAACACCCAAAGUCGGUGGGGUAACCUUUAGGAACCGGCCGCCUAAGGUGGGACAGAUGAUUAGGGUGAAGUCGUAACAAGGUAACCA
Molecule: ribosomal RNA, 628 nt
Filed under: uncultured Lactobacillus sp.
Lineage: Bacteria; Bacillati; Bacillota; Bacilli; Lactobacillales; Lactobacillaceae
Description: bacterial SSU rRNA
Rfam family: Bacterial small subunit ribosomal RNA
Source: RNAcentral